CAACAAGAUAUCGCCAGAGGAAAGGGUAUGGUGGAUUCCCUCUUCCAAGCUCCCAUGGGAACUGGAACCCACCACGCUAUUAUGAAUUCUUAUGAGUACCUCAGCGCUGGGCUUCGUCAGUAAGUGAUUUUUUACAACUUCUUUCGCAUCUCUUAGCUUAACUCAAUGUUAUUGGGAUUGAAGUUUGUGGCUGGUGUUGCAGGUACAACUUGGACAACAACAUGGAUGGUUUCUACAUUGCUCCUGCUUUCAUGGACAAGCUUGUUGUUCACAUUACCAAGAACUACAUGACCCUGCCAAACAUCAAGGUAUAGUUCAAUAUCUUACUCCUCAUUUCUUAUUUAGUCAUAACACUAUAUUUAUAGAUAACGGUAUCUUAGCGGAGCUUAAUACUAUUAAAAUAAUAAUUUAAUAGUUUAAAACGGUUAUAUGUAAAAUUUAUUUUUUUAUUAUAUAUAAUAACAUAAUUUAAUAAAAUCAAAAUUUUAGUUCUAUUUUUUAUUUAUCGUGGGAAAAAUAAUUAAAUUAAUAUUAUAUACUUAAUUUUAGAGACAAAUGCAGUGAUUAUCAAACUGUUGUUAUUAAUUUAUGGGUAUAAUUAAAGUAUAUAAAAUAAUAAUUUAAUGCUGUUGUCUCAGUAACAGUGUAACUAAUGUAAUCGGACCCUUUUGUAAUAUUUUAAGUAAAGAUUGAACAAAGUCUGUUUCAUUGUCUCAGGUUCCUCUCAUUUUGGGUAUCUGGGGAGGCAAAGGUCAAGGAAAAUCCUUCCAGUGCGAGCUUGUCUUUGCCAAGAUGGGAAUUAAGUGAGUCCAUGUCUUGUUGUUUAUUAAUAAUAGAACAAAAUAUUAAUACAGGAACUUGUCUUGAUUGUUUCUGUGUAUGACACACAUUUCAGCCCAAUCAUGAUGAGUGCCGGAGAAUUGGAAAGUGGAAACGCCGGUGAACCCGCCAAGCUCAUCAGGCAAAGGUACCGUGAGGCAGCUGAUAUCAUCAAGAAGAAGGGAAAAAUGUGCUGCCUCUUCAUCAACGAUCUCGAUGCCGGAGCUGGUAGACUUGGAGGAACUACACAAUACACUGUCAACAACCAGAUGGUGAAUGCUACACUCAUGAACAUUGCCGAUAACCCAACAAACGUGCAACUUCCCGGUAUGUACAACAAGGAAGAGAAUCCCCGUGUCCCUAUCAUCGUCACCGGUAACGAUUUCUCGACAUUGUAUGCUCCACUUAUCCGUGAUGGUCGUAUGGAGAAAUUCUACUGGGCACCUACCAGGGAUGAUAGAAUUGGUGUCUGCACUGGAAUCUUCAGAACUGAUGGUGUUCCACCGGAAGACAUUGUUAAGCUUGUUGAUACCUUCCCAGGACAAUCCAUUGGUCAGUUGAUGGAAAAAAAAAAAAAAAAAAAAAGAAGAAAAUUUAUAUUGUAAAAUCUUAGAGUUUAAGGAAAUUUAUUUCAUUAUGCAGACUUCUUCGGUGCUGUGAGGGCAAGAGUUUACGAUGAUGAAGUGAGGAAGUGGGUUUCAGGCGUAGGAGUGGAAACCAUUGGAAAGAAACUUGUGAACUCAAGAGAAGGACCCCCAACAUUCGAGCAACCAAAGAUGAACCUGGACAAGCUCCUUGAGUACGGACAGAUGCUUGUCCAAGAGCAAGAGAAUGUGAAGAGAGUUCAAUUGGCUGACAAGUACUUGAGUGAGGCUGCUCUUGGUGAGGCCAACCAAGAUUCCAUUGAUAGAGGAACAUUCUACGGUUAGCUCCCUUGAUCCUAAUAAAGGCCUUGAUGUGGAGGUUUGCAUCUAACAAAUCUUACAAGAACAUGUUUGUCUGAAUCACCCAAGAGUCUCCUUAAGCUUUUUUUUUGCUUUUGUUGUUGUUGUUGCAGGUCAAGCUGCCCAGCAAGUUAAUAUACCAGUUCCUGAAGGUUGCACUGAUCCAGGUGCAUCAAACUUUGAUCCAACUGCUAGGAGUGAUGAUGGGAGCUGCACUUACAAGUUCUAGGCCUUUUUAUUGGGAUUUUUUUAUGUUAAUCUGUGGAAGGAUAAUCACUUCCAAACUCAUUUGGGAUUUGUCAACCUAUAAUGUUUCCUUGUCUUGAAUGGAUUUCUAUCCUCUAAUUUUGUGUGAUUAUUACAAUUUUCAAUCAUCUUAAACCAGUGGUUUGUUUCCUACCACCAACUUUAGAGAAUUAUUUACUUGUGGCUUGAAAGACUCCAUAUUCAUAAUUAAUAAAUUUGAAAAUUUUAUUAUUAAAAUAUAAAAAUAAUUACUAAUCUACUAGAUCAUUUUUAUUCAUGUGUCGUAAUGUAAGUGGCGGAAAGUAAACCACCUGCAUCACACAGAUAUGAGAGUUCCCAUAUAGACUGAGAAAUUCUCUGGAUUGUAGAUAUGAGAAAUUUCACAUAUAAUUAAAUUAAUUAAAAAAAAAAAAGAGAGGGGAAAAGAAUGAAGAUAAUUAACUAAAAAUAAAAGAAAGAAGAGAAAGGAAAGAGAGGAAAAAGAAUGGAGAUGGAAGAAAAAUAGUUAGUUAAGCAAAGGUUUUACGUACACUUUUUCAUAGAAAAAAUGAAAGAAAUUUUAAAUUUUAAAGUUAUAAAGUUUAAUAAAUCAAGUGAAAUUUUGGUCGAUUCAUAUUUUUCACUUGAUUUAUUAUUAAUUUUUUUAAUUUAAUCACAAUUUAAGUGUAUUUAUAAUUUAUCUUAUAUAUUUAAUUAAUUAAAAUAUAGAAUAAAAUUAAUAAUGUCACUGUUGGAAUAAAUAAUUAUAAAAUUUAGAUAUAUUUAAGAUUGAUCCUGUAGAUUCAGAGUGAAAACCAUAAGAUUCUCAUAACAAUGGAUAAGACAGUUUAACAAAUAUUUUAUCAACUCUAUCUUCCAUUCCAUAUCAUGUCAAAAUCAAAUUUAAAAUUUUAUUAAUUUAAAGGAUAUUACGAUAAAUAUUAAAAUUAAUAAUAAAAAUUUUAUAAUAAUAUUAAUUAAUAUACUGUAAUAAUAUAAAUAAUUAUCGCAAAUAAUACUAAAAAAAUAUAAUACAAAAAUUAAUUUUUCAUGUAUUGGCUUGCAUAGUUUGAAUCGAAUAGUCGUUUUUUUUUUUUUNNNNNNNNNNNAGUAAGGCUUGUUGUUCAAAGGUUCACGUCUGGAUUGGGCUCAUCACUUUUGGUUACCAGCCCAUAUCUUUUGUUAAAACAAACUCUCUCUCCUUUUUUUCCCUCUUUUAAAGGUAGAAUUCAUUGCAAUAGAAGACCAAAGCCCAGUUUUUUUCUCUUUUUUUUUAAAAAAAGUCCUAGAACAGAAGCUCUAAGCCUGGAUUCGACCCACAAGAAGAUCUGACCUAGAAUUAAAUGUAGCAGCACCUCUCAUCUCAAGCUACGGCUCCCUUGCAGAUCCAUUCCAGGCAGGUGCACAAGGGAGCAACCAACACAGUUAUUCCCUUAGGGAGUCUAGCAAAAUCAAUAAAGGCCAAAUGCAAGAGAAAAAAGCACAGCCAUGGAAGGAAGAAGGGUUUGAUCCAAGGGAUCAGGCAAUGAGAUAGAGCUCUUAUGCACUUUCGAUGCCUGGAGGAUGUCAUUUUCAGAAGGCAUUGCAAUGAAAGUUGCUAACUUUUUGUGGGUGGAGAGAGAUAUUUUGAUUAUGUGAUUAAUUCUUACAUAUUAAAAAGUCAAUUGUUUUCAACCAACCACAAUAAACUAAAAUACUAAAUGGUUAUGUACAGACAUCAGCCAAAACGUCAUCAAGUUUAUUUAAAUUCAGUGAAUAAUUUAACCACCAAAAAUUAUUACUUUGCAGUAAAUUCUUUAAAUAAAAAAAUUGCAUCUUUUUUUUACAAUUAUAAAUUAUGUCCAACUAAUUUGUUUUAACAGUUUUCUAUUUGAAAUAAAAACAUUCAAUUUUUUUAAUUUUAAAAGAAAUAAAAUAUUUCAUGAUUUAUAAUAGUUUAUUUGAUUUUUUUUUACAAAAUGAAUUGUGUUAAAUAAGGGUUUAAAAUUAAAAUAAAUUUCUUAAAAUUCAAAAUAUAGUGAAAAUUUUUUAAAGUUUUUUUUAAAAAAAUUAUCCAAUAAUUACAUUUAACGAAAAUCAUAUCAAUAUAUUAAAUGACAAGCGACUAAAGAAGUUGAAUUUUAAGGAAGAGAUGUCUCUGUCAAUAUAGAAUAGAAUCUUUACUAUAUAUAAUUUCUUUCUUUGGUCGUUGGAGUAGUUGACCAUUUGUAGAUAAUUUUCACCGUCCAAUUUAGAUUGUGAAUCAAAUUUAAUCAAUUAAUUUCAAUUUUUAAAUGAAAUUAUAAUUUUAAAUUAAAAAAAUUGAUUCUUUGUAAAUUAAAAUUAAAAUUGAAUAGAAACUGAUUGAUUUAAUUUACAAUUUGAUUUAAUUUCAGUUUGAUUUUUUAUUUUUAAAAUAAAUUAUUUUAUAAGAUUAUGACGCUUAAAAUUAAUGUAUAAACGAGUUAAAUUAUUAAAUUAAGUUCUUCUUUUGAGUCCAAAUCAUGAGAAAAAAAUACUGAAGGUUGCACAAAGGAUUCGACUUUUUAUUUAUUUAUUUAUUUUUAUUUUCUAGUUGUACUUAUUAAACAUCAAGAAUGUGGAAAAGAUUCCCAUCUUAAUUAUAUUCUUAAUUAGGUAAUUAAUCAAUUCAAGUAGCCAAAUCUUUUUACCAAAUUCCAACAAAUUUUUGACUUCUAUUGCACACAUGCCAUUUGCUUUUAAUUAAAAAAAAUAUUAUUUUAAAUAUAUUUAUAAAAAACUAUUAAAUUUAAAUUUAUUAUAUUUUAGCACUCAGAAUCCUAAUCUAAUAAUAAAUAAAUAUAAGUAAAUUUGAGAUAUCUCAAUUUUAUCAUUUCAAUUCCUUCAUUUCAAUCCCUAAUUUUUGAUUUUUAAAAAAAAUUAUUCAUAAUUUAAUGAUAAAUAAAUAUGAGAGAUCUCAAUUUUAUCUCCAAUUCUUAAUUUUUAAUUAAAAAAAUUUAUUAGAUUUUAAUUAUUAAAAAUUGUUAAAAUACAUUAUAUCUAAUUAUUUUUUAGUGAUAUUUUAAAAUGUAAUUUGUAAAAAAGAUAAUAAUCUCAAUCUCCAAAUCUAUUAACGAUGAUGACGUAGGCCUUAGAGGCGUUAUGAAUUUACUAAAUCUAGUAAAUUAAAUUUAAAUUAUUAUUUUAAAUUAAUUUGUUAAAAAAAAUAUUUCAUACAUCAAAUCAAAAUAAUAAUUUAAAUUAUUAUAUUUAACAAAUUCUUUAGAGUCAUAUUAUCGUCUUUAAUAAUUUAUUACGUCAAAUAUUUAAUUCUUCUCUUUGAUUUAAAUUAUCAAGAAAAGCGUCAACUGACUCAGAAAUUUUAGCACCAACCCUCAAUUAUUAUUUUCGAAUGUAGUGACUCCCACGUCUAAGUUUGGCAACAUUUUGACUUGAAUUUUCUUUUUUUUUUCAACUUGCAUUUUUUAAUUCGUAUUUUAAUUUAUCAUGGGUAGUUUUAAAAUAUUAAUUUAAUUUUUUUACUAAAAUGCAAUUGAAUAUUGCAAUUAAAAUAAUAUUAAUAUUUUCACUAAAAUUUUAUAAUAUAAUUCUUUUUAAAUAAAAUCAAAAAUUGAUAUAAUAUAAUAUAAAAUUUAUAUUUAUUCAGAUACAUUUAUCACUACAUUAAAUCUAUAAAUGUAAAUUUUAUAUUAUAAAUUUUUAAUUAUAUAUAUUUAUAUGUUAAAAUAUUAUAUAUGCUUUAGAAAUCAAUUAAAAAAAUUUAAACCUUAAAAAUAUUAAAAUUUUAUCAGUUUUAUUUUUUUAUAUAAAUAAUUUCUUAAAAAUGAUUAACACCAAAAAAAUAAUAUAUUAAAGUAUUUUACUGAAUUUAUAUGCAUGUUUAUCUGUGACUUUAAACACGACAUACCUAUGUGUUUACCUUUUGGCUUAAAAGAAUUUGGAAACCAACCCACGUUUCUCAUCUUGUUUAAUUGAUUGCAAUCAAAUCGAACCAGUUAAAUCAUUCAUAACUUAGAACGGUCUGAUUUAAACAGAGUCAUUGGUUUUGGUUUCGAGGGGCACCGAUUUUGGGUGGGAGCUCACCGCAAAGGAAACCGAGAGGUUCCUUCCAGUUUGUGGUGAGAGAGACAAGAAUCUUUUAUUACAAAAGAUAAAGGACGAUUUCAUGAAGAAAAAGAAAGGGACAGUCAAUCCAGCGCAACCACAUCCACAUGGUGGCUGUAUGAUGGAGCCUCCAGAAAAUCCAGACACUGCCAAGACCAUUUCUUACACUCGUUAAACGUAUUGUCGUUCAAUGAAUGGACGAUGUCUCACACGCACACCCCUUCUGUCCAUGGGCCCCAUUUGAUUAACAUUCAUUGUGCAUAUCCUUCAUUUUCCAGGGCGUGCUUAAUUUUGAUGGUUGCGGUGCCAACGAUUCAUUAAGAAACAAAUUUUAAAUUUAUAUUUUUUUAAAUUAAAAUUAAAAAUUAAAAAAAUAAAAUAUAAAAUUUCUCAAACUUAUUUAAAUAUAUUUACUAUUAAAUUAAGUAUGUAAAUACUUUAAAUUUAUAUCCUAUUAUAUAAUUGUAAAUGCUUUAAGUUUAUAUUCUAUUAUAUAAUUAUAAAUUUUCUUUUUAUUUAUCGAAAAUCCAGUGGAUCAAGUAACAAUUGUGGAUAAAUGAAGAUAAUUUUAAUAUAAAUAAGGUUUAUUGGCUAAAAAUUAGUGAAAUUAAUUCAAAGCUAAUCUCAAAUGACAAUAAUUUAAUUGCUGAAUAAGCAACUCUUGCUAUAGCCUACUGCCUAGAGCAGCCAACAAUACCUCACUUUUACCUUCCACAGUGGUAGGUGAAGCCAGAAUGGACUCAGCCAACGGACUCGCAGUUUGAUAAUUAUGACUAUUACGGUUCAUUUUUAAAGGUUUUUUUUUUAAAAAAUAAAAAUUGGACGUGGGUUAGUAGAAUUUAAAAUUUUAUAUUUAUUAUUACUAUAGUCAAUGAGUAACCAAAUGUUUUAUGUGAAACUCAACUCGUUAUUGUUGUGCAUAAUAAUUUUUUAAAAAUCAAGUGACACUUAAAUUUUAUUGAGAUAACCUUGUAAAUAUUUAUUCUGCCCUUUUCAAUUAUAGACCAAGGUAAGAUGAAAUCCUAGAUGUUACCAUCACCAGCCAAGAAGCACCCACAAAUCUCUUUCCCCUUCUCUUCUUCUUCUUCUUCUUCUUCUUCUUCUAUAAACUAAGUUUAAACCACUUGCUGAAAAUGUAACCAGAGCAAAAGGCCAAAACUUUAGCUAUCUUGCAGAAAACAGAACAUCCUCUGUUUCAGAAAUUUUAACUUUUCAUUGUAUAAUGUUCCAGAAACUGUCUCCUUUCUUGUUUUUUCUCUCUUUUCUUUUGAACCCAGUUUUUUCUCAGCUAGAUGAGCUCUUUUCCCAAGGCUUUGAUCAUGCCAGGAGCAACAUGAGCGUCUGUGAUGGUGCUCAGAUUGAAGAUAAUGGCAUACUUCGGUUAACAAACAAUUCUCUUCGCUUGAAAGGCCAUGCUUUUUACUCAAAUCAAAUGCAAUUCAAGAGCUCUAUCACUGGCAAAGCUUUCUCCUUCUCCACCGCCUUCGCUUUCGCCAUAGUUCCUGAGUACCCAAAGCUUGGUGGCCAUGGUUUUGCUUUCACCAUCUCUCCCUCAAAAGACCUACCUGGGUCUCUUCCAAGCCAGUACCUAGGCCUACUCAAUGCAAGCAAUAUUGGUAAUUUCUCCAAUCACAUCUUCGCAGUUGAAUUUGAUACAGUUCAAGAUUUUGAGUUUGGAGAUAUUAAUGAUAACCAUGUGGGUAUUGAUAUAAAUAGCUUGGUAUCAAAUAAAUCUGCUCCUGCUACUUUUUUUAUUGAUAAUUCUACUAAGAUGAAUCUGACUCUCCAAAGUGGUAGGGUUUUUCAAGCUUGGGUUGAUUAUGACUCGACCCAGAAUCUAAUAGAGGUUAGGCUUUCAUCUUCUUCCACAAAACCAAGAUCUCCGAUCUUGUCUUUUGAAGUAGAUCUUUCUCCUUUCCUCCAUGAUUAUAUGUAUGUGGGAUUCUCUUCAUCUACUGGGUUGCUGGCAAGCACACACUAUAUUCUUGGAUGGAGUUUUACAAUGAAUAAAAUGGCUCAAUCUUUAUCUCUAUCUUCUCUUCCUUCUCUACCUCGGCCAGGAAAGAAUCAUACAGUGCUGAUUGCUGUUGUCACAUUUUCAGCUGUUGUGUUCAUAAUCUUGGUCAUGGGUAUAGCUUUUUACCUGGUUAGAAAGAUUAAAAAUGCGGAUGUGAUCGAGGAAUGGGAGUUUGAUGUUGGUCCUCAUAGAUUUUCUUAUCAAGAACUCAAGAAAGCAACAAGGGGAUUCAGAGACAAAGAGCUUCUUGGAUUUGGUGGAUUUGGCAAAGUUUAUAAAGGAACUCUACCAAAUUCUAAUACUCAAGUUGCUGUUAAGCGAAUCUCUCGUGAAUCUAAACAAGGUGUGAGGGAAUUUACGUCUGAGAUUGCUAGUAUUGGUCGUCUUAGACAUAGAAAUUUGGUUCAGUUGCUGGGUUGGUGUCGCCGGCGAGGUGACUUACUACUUGUCUAUGAUUUCAUGCCUAAUGGGAGCUUAGACAAGUACUUGUUUGAUAAUCCUAAAACCAUUCUCAAUUGGGAACAAAGAUUCAAUAUUAUUAAAGGUGUUGCUUCUGGCCUUCUGUAUUUGCAUGAAGGAUGGGAACAGACUGUGAUUCAUAGAGACAUAAAGGCAGGCAAUGUGUUGUUAGAUUCUGAGCUAAAUGGAAGACUUGGUGACUUUGGUCUUGCCAAAUUGUAUGAGCGAGGCACUAAUCCUAGCACCACUAGGGUGGUGGGCACUUUAGGUUACUUAGCACCUGAGCUAACAAGAACCGGCAAGCCUACUACAAGCUCAGAUGUGUUUGCAUUUGGUGCACUACUGCUUGAAGUGGUGUGUGGAAGGAGACCUAUUGAGCCUAAAGCAAUGCCUGAGGAGCUCAUUUUGGUGGACUGGGUGUGGGAGAAGUGGAAAAAUGGUGCAAUUCUUGAUGUUGUGGAUCCGCGAUUGAAUGAUGAGUUUGAUGAACUUGAAGCUGUUGUUGUGUUGAAACUCGGACUAAUGUGUUCCAACAAUUUACCCAACGUUAGGCCGACGAUGAGGCAAGUUGUGAGAUACUUGGAGGGAGAAGUGUCGUUGCCGGAGGUGGUUGCGGCCCCAGAUGCAUACGAUGGGAAAAAGAGUGAGGGUGGUAAUGGUGGAGAGUUUGAAGAUUAUGUUCAUUCAUAUCCAUCAUCAACAAAUUUUGACAAGUUCACUACAUGGUCAUGUGGGGCUGAUUAUGGGGAUAUUGAUAUUGAAGCUGGUUCGACUUCGUUUCGCUCACCUUCUCAUCGAAAUGAAGGCAGAUAACCAUUGUGCAGAUCUAAAUCUUCACCUUUUUAUAAUUUUUCUAGUCUUGAGAUAUGCUGUCUGUAUACAUAUUCAUCCUCAGAUAUUAAUUAAUUGAUUGAUAUCCAUUCAUGGGCUGUAAAUUUCCAAGUUGAUAUAGAUUUUUAUACAUUCACUGUGAGAAACUUGACAUCUGCAUAAAGUCUAUGAUAUUCCUGUGUUGUCCUCCAAAAGUUUGCUACUUCAGGCAAGAUCCUGUUUGUCCAUGGAUUCCACCAAAAAUUGCGGCAGAUCACUGUUUUUGGCAGUGCAUCUGCAUCACUAAAUGUGGGUACAAUUCGGACCCAUGUUGAAAUAAACGUCAAUUGCAAUAUUAAAAUUUACAAGAGUCCUUGGUAAUAAAGUAAAGAUGCUGGAGAAGUCCACACAUGCAAUUCCAAAAUGGAUCAGCUUCAGCGGCUGAUCAGAUUUUGACAAGGACUUAACAGUGAGUUUGUCUAAAACUUUUGCAAGAGUCCCAAGCAGUCUAUGGACAUGAAACAAAUUGCCUUUGCAUAGAGAACUCAUGUUUAACACGCCAUUCUUCAUUUCUUAUCAAAUACUAAAGGUGUAGGAACUUCUAUGUGAUAAAUUAUUGGCGACAUAUUUUUGCCAAUUUGGGAAAAUGACUUUGGAUAUUUUUUUAGACCUUGUUACAUCAGACGUGUCAUUUGAAGUCUGUUUAUUGAAAAAAUUGAAUAUAAAUCACUUUUGAAUUAUAAAUCUAAACCUUAUCAGAGGCUAAUUUUAGUUCAAUUUCAAAUUAAAAUCGUCCGUUUAUUGGAUAUUAGUGAAACUGUUUCGAUUCAUAUCUAGUUUGAAAUUUUUUAAAACGACAAUAAUCUUAAUAUUUUAUACAUUAAAAUAUAUAAAUUUUUAAAAUUUAAUUUUAUCAUAUAUUUAAUUUUUAUAGUAAAACAUAAAGGGGCCAAAUCAACCUAUAUAAUUUUUUUAAAAAAAAAAAAAUUUUAAAUAUAUCAUGCGAAAUUCAAAAUCAAUUUAUGAUAAAAAAAUCUUGUUUUAAAAGCAUUAAUUCCUUCUAGAAUAGCCUUUCUUGUCCGAUUAUAGAUUGCAACUUUAAGUUUUUUACACGUGCCCUUGUGAUUGGUCCAAGUGGCAUUCAUGGUAGCAACAAUAAUGCUACUAUGUCUUCAUCCAUGGUAGCAUGGUUGAUGCCCUCACCAAUCGAAGUGUCUCGGUUUGGAACUGGCAAUUCUUGCUGGCCACCGAUUCCAAUCUUGG
This 10602-nucleotide long non-coding RNA is filed under the name Manihot esculenta (cassava). RNAcentral describes it as "long non-coding RNA (MESC_LNC005771)". The record is from RNAcentral. Lineage: Eukaryota; Viridiplantae; Streptophyta; Magnoliopsida; Malpighiales; Euphorbiaceae.